RNAcentral lists this ribosomal RNA (607 nucleotides) under uncultured bacterium. RNAcentral's name for it is "bacterial SSU rRNA". The stretch from base 1 to 543 matches the Rfam family "Bacterial small subunit ribosomal RNA", at positions 338 to 873 of the family's 1533-position model. The record is from RNAcentral.
CCUACGGGAGGCAGCAGUGGGGAAUUUUGGACAAUGGGCGCAAGCCUGAUCCAGCAAUGCCGCGUGCAGGAUGAAGGCCUUCGGGUUGUAAACUGCUUUUGUACGGAACGAAACGGUGAGCUCUAAUACAGUUUGCUAAUGACGGUACCGUAAGAAUAAGCACCGGCUAACUACGUGCCAGCAGCCGCGGUAAUACGUAGGGUGCGAGCGUUAAUCGGAAUUACUGGGCGUAAAGCGUGCGCAGGCGGUGAUGUAAGACAGAUGUGAAAUGCCCGGGCUCAACCUGGGACCUGCAUUUGUGACUGCAUCGCUAGAGUACGGUAGAGGGGGGAUGGAAUUCCGCGUGUAGCAGUGAAAUGCGUAGAUAUGCGGAGGAACACCGAUGGCGAAGGCAAUCCCCUGGACCUGUACUGACGCUCAUGCACGAAAGCGUGGGGAGCAAACAGGAUUAGAUACCCUGGUAGUCCACGCCCUAAACGAUGUCAACUGGUUGUUGGGUNUUCACUGACUCAGUAACGAAGCUAACGCGUGAAGUUGACCGCCUGGGGNGACGCGCGAGUAGACGANANAGAGUAGAGNGNGAGAGNGCGAGGCGCACGAGGGAGAG